GGUCUAUUCAGUACUGACAGCAAGGAC
This 27-nucleotide non-coding RNA is filed under the name Mus musculus (house mouse). Lineage: Eukaryota; Metazoa; Chordata; Mammalia; Rodentia; Muridae. The record is from RNAcentral.